This 382-nucleotide ribosomal RNA is filed under the name uncultured eukaryote. Its description in RNAcentral is "partial 18S ribosomal RNA". It matches the Rfam family "Eukaryotic small subunit ribosomal RNA", at positions 592 to 975 of the family's 1831-position model. The record is from RNAcentral.
CAAUAGCGUAUAUUAAAGUUGUUGCAGUUAAAAAGCUCGUAGUUGGAUUUCUGGCAGGAGCAACCGGUCACUCACUCUGUGUGUGAACUUGUGUUGUCUCUGGCCAUCCUCGGGGAGAUCUUGUUUGGCAUUAAGUUGUCGAGCAGGGGAUACCCGUCGUUUACUGUGAGAAAAUUAGAGUGUUUAAAGCAGGCUUAUGCCGUUGAAUAUAUUAGCAUGGAAUAAUAAGAUAGGACUUCGGAACUAUUUUGUUGGUUUGCGUUACGAAGUAAUGAUUAAUAGGGACAGUUGGGGGUAUUCGUAUUUCGUUGUCAGAGGUGAAAUUCUUGGAUUUCCGAAAGACGAACUACUGCGAAAGCAUUUACCAAGGAUGUUUUCAUUA